UACGAAAGGUGCAAGCGUUACUCGGAAUCACUGGGCAUAAAGCGCACGUAGGCGGUCUGUUAAGUCAGGUGUGAAAGCCCCCGGCUCAACCGGGGAAUUGCAUUUGAUACUGGCAGGCUCGAGAACGGUAGGGGUGAGUGGAACUCCAGGUGGAGCGGUGAAAUGCGUAGAUAUCUGGAGGAACACCGGUGGCGAAAGCGGCUCACUGGACCGUCACUGACGCUGAGGUGCGAAAGCUAGGGUAGCAAACAGG
This 253-nucleotide ribosomal RNA is filed under the name uncultured bacterium. RNAcentral describes it as "partial 16S ribosomal RNA". It matches the Rfam family "Bacterial small subunit ribosomal RNA", at positions 524 to 776 of the family's 1533-position model. The record is from RNAcentral.